Long non-coding RNA from Hippoglossus stenolepis (Pacific halibut), 315 nucleotides. RefSeq lists it as uncharacterized. The record is from RefSeq and is a predicted model, not a curated record. The transcript has 2 exons. NCBI's taxonomy places the organism in Eukaryota, Metazoa, Chordata, Actinopteri, Pleuronectiformes, Pleuronectidae.
CUACCGAGACAAUCCAACUAGUUUAAAAAGUGGCCCGGACAGCACGCGCCGCGGUGUCCGCUCGUGCCCACGCGGACACCGGGCAGCAGCCGCCGGUGUCCGCGGGGGUCGCGGCUCUGUGACGUCCUCGGAAGCAGCUCUUUCAAUUUCUUUUUGACGACAAAUAUCGUCUGCACACGUGAAGCCUGUGACUAAAACAGGAGUUAGAUACGUUUCAAGACUCCAACAGUUGAAACCUGGGCGACAAGAAACAUCUGGCGGCCACAUGUUCCAGUAUUUUAAGUGCACUUGUAAAUAAAAGGUGAAACAUCCUAA